RNAcentral lists this ribosomal RNA (460 nucleotides) under uncultured bacterium. RNAcentral's name for it is "partial 16S ribosomal RNA". It matches the Rfam family "Bacterial small subunit ribosomal RNA", at positions 338 to 795 of the family's 1533-position model. The record is from RNAcentral.
CCUACGGGAGGCAGCAGUGAGGAAUAUUGGUCAAUGGGCGCGAGCCUGAACCAGCCACGUAGCGUGAAGGAUGACUGCCCUACGGGUUGUAAACUUCUUUUAUAAAGGAAUAACGUGAGGCUCGUGUGCCUUUUUGUAUUUACUUUAUGAAUAAGGAUCGGCUAACUCCGUGCCAGCAGCCGCGGUAAUACGGAGGAUCCGAGCGUUAUGCGGAUUUAUUGGGUUUAACGGGAGCGUAGAUGGGUUGUUAAGUCAGUUGGGAAAGUUUGCGGCUCAACCGUAAAAGUGCAAUUGAUACUGGCAGCCUUGAGUACAGUUGAGGUAGGCGGAAUUCGUGGUGUAGCGGUGAAAUGCUUAGAUAUCACGAAGAACUCCGAUUGCGAAGGCAGCUUACUAAACUGCCACUGACAUUGAUGCUCGAAAGUGUGGGUAUCAAACAGGAUUAGAUACCCGAGUAGUC